ACGGAAGGCAGCAGUGGGGAAUAUUGCACAAUGGAGGAAACUCUGAUGCAGCGACGCCGCGUGAAGGAUGAAGUAUUUCGGUAUGUAAACUUCUAUCAGCAGGGAAGAAAAUGACGGUACCUGACUAAGAAGCCCCGGCUAACUACGUGCCAGCAGCCGCGGUAAUACGUAGGGGGCAAGCGUUAUCCGGAUUUACUGGGUGUAAAGGGAGCGUAGACGGCACGGCAAGCCAGAUGUGAAAGCCCGGGGCUCAACCCCGGGACUGCAUUUGGAACUGCUGAGCUAGAGUGUCGGAGAGGCAAGUGGAAUUCCUAGUGUAGCGGUGAAAUGCGUAGAUAUUAGGAGGAACACCAGUGGCGAAGGCGGCUUGCUGGACGAUGACUGACGUUGAGGCUCGAAAGCGUGGGGAGCAAACAGGAUUAGAUACCCUGGUA
RNAcentral lists this ribosomal RNA (434 nucleotides) under uncultured Dorea sp. RNAcentral describes it as "bacterial SSU rRNA". It matches the Rfam family "Bacterial small subunit ribosomal RNA", at positions 341 to 792 of the family's 1533-position model. Lineage: Bacteria; Bacillati; Bacillota; Clostridia; Lachnospirales; Lachnospiraceae. The record is from RNAcentral. RNAcentral also lists the same sequence under 1 other name.